AAGUCGUAACAAGGUUUCCGUAGGUGAACCUGCGGAAGGAUCAUUAAAAACGUAUCCACGUAUCCACAACUGUGCACUUGUUUCUCUCUCCCUGAUUGCUACAUGAGUCGGUAAAACUCGCCAGCGCUUGAAUGGGACCGCAAGGUCAGAGCUGCGAGAACACUUGGUGUGCUUGCGCACCAGACGAUUGAAGUAGUAAUUCAGGCUAACUUCUUACUAUCGCCAUAACCGUUCAGAUGGUGGUAGUAAGGUACUAAUUCACCAAUUUCACCCCCUUUUUGCUAGUUGACUUUUUUAAUGUUGUGCUCACGCUUAUAUUAAUUUAUGAGCUUGUUCACACACGUUUCUUAAUUGAACGUAAAAAUACAACUCUUAGCAAUGGAUAUCUAGGUUCUC
RNAcentral lists this unclassified non-coding RNA (396 nucleotides) under fungal sp. Its description in RNAcentral is "partial internal transcribed spacer region". The stretch from base 1 to 46 matches the Rfam family "Eukaryotic small subunit ribosomal RNA", at positions 1786 to 1831 of the family's 1831-position model. Lineage: Eukaryota; Fungi. The record is from RNAcentral.